RNAcentral lists this non-coding RNA (425 nucleotides) under Pan troglodytes (chimpanzee). The record is from RNAcentral. Lineage: Eukaryota; Metazoa; Chordata; Mammalia; Primates; Hominidae.
UCUCCCUAAGAAAAAGAAUGACAAAUGUUAUGGCACUGUCUAAAAGCACUUAAAGAAUCCAGAGGAAGAAUGUUCCAAAAAUCCGCGGCAAGACUAAAUAUUUGGGGUGUGAUGUGUGACAAUCAAGAGCCUUAAAAGAAGUUUUCAGUCUUCAGUACACACUUGAUAUGAGGCAACCAAAAAAAAUACUUGAUCUACCAACAACAUAUGGUAAGAACAACAUAUGUUGAGCAAACCUACGUAUUUUCCGUGUGAACUUACGCUGUGUGACUUCCAUCUCCGGAAAAUAAGAAAACUUUUCAUUACACAUAUUGCCCUCACAGCAACAAAAAUAUACUUCAGGGCUGUCUUUUUUUUCUACACAAUCAGUCCUAUAAAUAAGCAGAGAAAAAAUAAUUAAAAUCAAUAUUAUACUGACCCUACAA